GACUUUUUGUUACUUCUUUUUCUGUCACUCAGUAGUAGUGAAGCAGAACAUUGCAGAAGUGAAAUAUUAAGCCAGAGAUCAUGUUAAAAACUGGAGGUUUUUUUAUUUUCUUUUGCAGUUUUGUCAAAAGACUCCUUUCAAGAUGACUUUUUAAUCUUCUACCACUUGGUCUCAGGAGUUUUUUUCUGUGGAUGCUCAAAAAUGAAGGGAACACACAACCCAUGCCCUGCAAUGUGAAAUCACAAUGUUCUGUCUGCUGUCAUGGCACAGAAAUAUUCCACUGUCUGUUGAAGUACAGCUGAAGCACAAUGAGAAAGGCACCAGCAACAGGCCCUUCAACACAGAGGAUGGUGGUUGUGGCUCCCCAGCUGCUCCUCUGGGGCCAUGCUGAGAGCAGUGACAGUGUAACAACACUUACAGACUCUGCUACAAUAUUUCCAGUCAUUCCCCUUCAUCUGUCUCAGUUCAAGUUAACUGGAGGAAAAAACCUUUUCAUCUUUGCAAUCUGGUAAGGGCUCAGGCUCAGCCAGAAGGUGCAGGUUUUACAGCCUCUCAGAAGCUGAUGGCCCCACUUGCCAGGCUCUGCACCAUGCAGGUUCUCAGGUGUGGUGUACCUGUGAUUUAAGGACUGUAAUCCAUCAUUUUCAACUGUUCUACUGGCAUAC
Molecule: long non-coding RNA, 665 nt
Organism: Pseudopipra pipra
Lineage: Eukaryota; Metazoa; Chordata; Aves; Passeriformes; Pipridae
Exons: 5
Source: RefSeq, a predicted model, not a curated record